RNAcentral lists this ribosomal RNA (313 nucleotides) under uncultured Lactobacillus sp. RNAcentral describes it as "bacterial SSU rRNA". It matches the Rfam family "Bacterial small subunit ribosomal RNA", at positions 225 to 525 of the family's 1533-position model. The record is from RNAcentral. Lineage: Bacteria; Bacillati; Bacillota; Bacilli; Lactobacillales; Lactobacillaceae.
AUGGACCUGCGAUGCAUUAGCUAGUUGGUAAGGUAACGGGCUUACCAAGGCGAUGAUGCAUAGCCCGAGUUGAGAGACUGAUCGGGCCACGUUGGGGACUGAGACACGGCCCAAACUCCUACGGGAGGCAGCAGUAGGGAAUCUUCCACAAUGGACGAAAGUCUGAUGGAGCAAACGCCGCGUGAGUGAAGAAGGUUUUCGGAUCGUAAAGCUCUGUUGUUGGUGAAGAAGGAUAGAGGUAGUAACUGGCCUUUAUUUGACGGUAAUCAACCAGAAAGUCACGGCUAACUACGUGCCAGCAGCCGCGAUAAAU